UACGUAGGGUGCGAGCGUUGUCCGGAAUUAUUGGGCGUAAAGAGCUUGUAGGCGGUUUGUCGCGUCUGCUGUGAAAACCCGCGGCUCAACCGCGGGCUUGCAGUCGAUACGGGCAGGCUAGAGUUUGGUAGGGGAGACUGGAAUUCCUGGUGUAGCGGUGAAAUGCGCAGAUAUCAGGAGGAACACCGGUGGCGAAGGCGGGUCUCUGGGCCGAUACUGACGCUGAGGAGCGAAAGCGUGGGGAGCGAACAGG
RNAcentral lists this ribosomal RNA (253 nucleotides) under uncultured bacterium. Its description in RNAcentral is "partial 16S ribosomal RNA". It matches the Rfam family "Bacterial small subunit ribosomal RNA", at positions 524 to 776 of the family's 1533-position model. The record is from RNAcentral.